UCUCUCUCUCUCUCUCUCUCUCUCUCUCUCUCUCUCUCUCUCGUGCGCCGGGUAUAACAGCCUCGAUUUAAUCACGUCAUAAGAAUGCGACCCCCGGCCUUGUGCAACACCGCUUCCAGAUUGUGUUUCGUAAUACUCGCUUCCCGUGUCGUCCGGGAAUUCGCCGUCUCCAUGCGGCUCCUCCGGUUCUUCUUCUUCUUCGUCGUUUUGAAAAUCUUGUAAUUCUUGUUCUCUCCACAAUCGAGUCUAUUUUUAACAUUAGCGCCUCGACAUUCUCGUGUAUUUAUCCCGUGCGUCAACUCGUCAUUAUCUCCCCGGCUUCUCCCGCGUCGCGCAACGCGACCGGUUUUUUGCAUAUCGUCGAACGGAAAUCUCGAGAGGAAGUUAUGGGAAACUUACGCUCGCCGAACCAAGAAUGGACGGCUCCCCCCAUUCACUUCACCGUCGAAUCCGGAGCAUUCUGCUGACGUGGUACCGACUGCACGUGGCAUUUGCCCUCCGAGUAAAUUCCUUCAGCCGCGCCAACUCCUCGUCGCGAGCUCACAUUCGCGCGAAGCUCAAGUCGUUGAGAUAAAUAAAAAUCUCGCAAGCGCUCGAGGAUCAUCCUUCCGCGCGGACAGUGCGCAUCGCCUCGUUACGUAAUCGCGGGACGCGAAGGAAAGACGAGCCAGGUGAAUUCCUGCUUAGCGGAGCGGCGAUCUCGAACAGGCAGGCAGAACGAACAUCGAGGCACGGAACAUCUUCUCGCCGGCGUGUGCCAGCUUGUCCAGGUUUCACCGUGAAGCCCCUGUCCGAGGUCGGAUAGAAUUCGCCGGGGUAGGAAGUAGGAAGAUCCUCAGCGGCAGGUGUGACCCCGGCGGGCAGCUGUUGACGAAUUUCCACGCGAGCGUGGCUCGUUGUGAUGUAGCGCUGCGCGCUCGCUCGCCCUCUGCUCAUUGUCCACCUUGCCACCGGUGGCGAAGCAACGACAGUUGCUAGGCGAGGUCAAUGGCAGCGCGAUGCCGAGCGGCUUGGCGAAUAGUCGCACACGCCGCCGCCGCUGAACCAUCGGUCGCGAUUCACCGUAGGAUUAACCAGCGCGCGGCUGUUCUACCGGCUCUCUCUCUCUCUCUCUCUCCCUCUCUCUCUCUCUCUCUCUCGUUUUUCUCUUUCCCGAAACAUGCAAUCGUUUAUCGUUAUCUGGCUCCGUUCCAUCCGGUCGAUUGCCGAAGCGAAUCGCUUCGUUAGAAUGCUCGCAUGGCUCUCGCUCGCCGCCGCCGCCGCUCUCCAUACUUGACGCAAUUCGAGAAGAAUUGCGCGAUUGCAGCGCGGAACUCGCUGAUGGACGCGUGGAUGUGCCGGGACGCGCGCGCAUCGCACGAUACCGUACGGUAUUCGCCGCGUUGCGCAAUGCGAAUUGACCUAAUGGCUCUAAUCUUCGCAUUGUUAUGUUAAUUGCGAGCGAGAAGCACGUCCUACAUUAUAGCGGCUAA
Harpegnathos saltator (Jerdon's jumping ant) is the source of this 1472-nucleotide long non-coding RNA. RefSeq lists it as uncharacterized. NCBI's taxonomy places the organism in Eukaryota, Metazoa, Arthropoda, Insecta, Hymenoptera, Formicidae. The record is from RefSeq and is a predicted model, not a curated record. The transcript has 2 exons.